GUAGAGAACUUUCAGAGAUGGAUUGGUGCCUUCGGGAACUCUGAGGCAGGCGCUGCAUGGCUGUCGUCAGCUCGUGUUGUGAAGUGUUGGGUUAAGUCCCGCAACGAGCGCAACCCUUAUCCUUUGUUGCCAGCGGUCCGGCCGGGAACUCAAAGGAGACUGCCAGUGAUAAACUGGAGGAAGGUGGGGAUGACGUCAAGUCAUCAUGGCCCUUACGAGUAGGGCUACACACGUGCUACAAUGGCGCAUA
RNAcentral lists this ribosomal RNA (250 nucleotides) under uncultured bacterium. RNAcentral's name for it is "partial 16S ribosomal RNA". It matches the Rfam family "Bacterial small subunit ribosomal RNA", at positions 989 to 1239 of the family's 1533-position model. The record is from RNAcentral.